AUUGAACGCUGGCGGCAGGCCUAACACAUGCAAGUCGAACGGUAACAGGAAGCAGCUUGCUGCUUUGCUGACGAGUGGCGGACGGGUGAGUAAUGUCUGGGAAACUGCCUGAUGGAGGGGGAUAACUACUGGAAACGGUAGCUAAUACCGCAUAACGUCGCAAGACCAAAGAGGGGGACCUUAGGGCCUCUUGCCAUCGGAUGUGCCCAGAUGGGAUUAGCUAGUAGGUGGGGUAACGGCUCACCUAGGCGACGAGCCCUAGCUGGUCUGAGAGGAUGACCAGCCACACUGGAACUGAGACACGGUCCAGACUCCUACGGGAGGCAGCAGUGGGGAAUAUUGCACAAUGGGCGCAAGCCUGAUGCAGCCAUGCCGCGUGUAUGAAGAAGGCCUUCGGGUUGUAAAGUACUUUCAGCGGGGAGGAAGGGAGUAAAGUUAAUACCUUUGCUCAUUGACGUUACCCGCAGAAGAAGCACCGGCUAACUCCGUG
RNAcentral lists this ribosomal RNA (490 nucleotides) under uncultured bacterium. Its description in RNAcentral is "partial 16S ribosomal RNA". It matches the Rfam family "Bacterial small subunit ribosomal RNA", at positions 30 to 507 of the family's 1533-position model. The record is from RNAcentral.